RNAcentral lists this ribosomal RNA (836 nucleotides) under Leclercia adecarboxylata. RNAcentral describes it as "partial 23S ribosomal RNA". It matches the Rfam family "Bacterial large subunit ribosomal RNA", at positions 1550 to 2366 of the family's 2925-position model. The record is from RNAcentral. Lineage: Bacteria; Pseudomonadati; Pseudomonadota; Gammaproteobacteria; Enterobacterales; Enterobacteriaceae.
UUAACGCUGAGGUGUGAUGACGAGGCACUACGGUGCUGAAGCAACAAAUGCCCUGCUUCCAGGAAAAGCCUCUAAGCAUCAGGUAACAUCAAAUCGUACCCCAAACCGACACAGGUGGUCAGGUAGAGAAUACCAAGGCGCUUGAGAGAACUCGGGUGAAGGAACUAGGCAAAAUGGUGCCGUAACUUCGGGAGAAGGCACGCUGAUAUGUAGGUGAAGCCCCUGCGGGUGGAGCUGAAAUCAGUCGAAGAUACCAGCUGGCUGCAACUGUUUAUUAAAAACACAGCACUGUGCAAACACGAAAGUGGACGUAUACGGUGUGACGCCUGCCCGGUGCCGGAAGGUUAAUUGAUGGGGUUAGCGGCAACGCGAAGCUCUUGAUCGAAGCCCCGGUAAACGGCGGCCGUAACUAUAACGGUCCUAAGGUAGCGAAAUUCCUUGUCGGGUAAGUUCCGACCUGCACGAAUGGCGUAAUGAUGGCCAGGCUGUCUCCACCCGAGACUCAGUGAAAUUGAAAUCGCUGUGAAGAUGCAGUGUACCCGCGGCAAGACGGAAAGACCCCGUGAACCUUUACUAUAGCUUGACACUGAACACUGGUCCUUGAUGUGUAGGAUAGGUGGGAGGCUUUGAAGCGUGGACGCCAGUCUGCGUGGAGCCAUCCUUGAAAUACCACCCUUUAAUGGCUGGUGUUCUAACGUGGACCCGUUAUCCGGGUUGCGGACAGUGUCUGGUGGGUAGUUUGACUGGGGCGGUCUCCUCCUAAAGAGUAACGGAGGAGCACGAAGGUUAGCUAAUCCUGGUCGGACAUCAGGAGGUUAGUGCAAUGGCAUAAGCUA